Molecule: ribosomal RNA, 556 nt
Filed under: Bos taurus (domestic cattle)
Lineage: Eukaryota; Metazoa; Chordata; Mammalia; Artiodactyla; Bovidae
Description: partial 16S ribosomal RNA
Rfam family: Bacterial large subunit ribosomal RNA
Source: RNAcentral
UCACCUCCAGCAUCCCCAGUAUUGGAGGCAUUGCCUGCCCAGUGACAACUGUUUAACGGCCGCGGUAUCCUGACCGUGCAAAGGUAGCAUAAUCAUUUGUUCUCUAAAUAAGGACUUGUAUGAAUGGCCGCACGAGGGUUUUACUGUCUCUUACUUCCAAUCAGUGAAAUUGACCUUCCCGUGAAGAGGCGGGAAUGCACAAAUAAGACGAGAAGACCCUAUGGAGCUUUAACUAACCAACCCAAAGAGAAUAGAUUUAACCAUUAAGGAAUAACAACAAUCUCCAUGAGUUGGUAGUUUCGGUUGGGGUGACCUCGGAGAAUAAAAAAUCCUCCGAGCGAUUUUAAAGACUAGACCCACAAGUCAAAUCACUCUAUCGCUCAUUGAUCCAAAAACUUGAUCAACGGAACAAGUUACCCUAGGGAUAACAGCGCAAUCCUAUUCAAGAGUCCAUAUCGACAAUAGGGUUUACGACCUCGAUGUUGGAUCAGGACAUCCUGAUGGUGCAACCGCUAUCAAAGGUUCGUUUGUUCAACGAUUAAAGUCCUACAUGAUC